CACGGAGGAUGCGAGCGUUAUCCGGAUUUAUUGGGUUUAAAGGGUGCGUAGGCGGGAUGCCAAGUCAGCGGUAAAAAUGCGGUGCUCAACGCCGUCGAGCCGUUGAAACUGGCGUUCUUGAGUGGGCGAGAAGUAUGCGGAAUGCGUGGCGUAGCGGUGAAAUGCAUAGAUAUCACGCAGAACUCCGAUUGCGAAGGCAGCAUACCGGCGCCCUACUGACGCUGAGGCACGAAAGCGUGGGUAUCGAACAGG
This 252-nucleotide ribosomal RNA is filed under the name uncultured bacterium. Its description in RNAcentral is "partial 16S ribosomal RNA". It matches the Rfam family "Bacterial small subunit ribosomal RNA", at positions 524 to 776 of the family's 1533-position model. The record is from RNAcentral.